RNAcentral lists this ribosomal RNA (497 nucleotides) under uncultured bacterium. RNAcentral's name for it is "partial 16S ribosomal RNA". It matches the Rfam family "Bacterial small subunit ribosomal RNA", at positions 28 to 507 of the family's 1533-position model. The record is from RNAcentral.
GAUGAACGCUGGCGGCGUGCCUAAUACAUGCAAGUCGAGCGAACAGACGAGGAGCUUGCUCCUUUGACGUUAGCGGCGGACGGGUGAGUAACACGUGGAUAACCUACCUAUAAGACUGGGAUAACUUCGGGAAACCGGAGCUAAUACCGGAUAACAUGUUGAACCGCAUGGUUCAACAGUGAAAGACGGUCUUGCUGUCACUUAUAGAUGGAUCCGCGCCGCAUUAGCUAGUUGGUAAGGUAACGGCUUACCAAGGCAACGAUGCGUAGCCGACCUGAGAGGGUGAUCGGCCACACUGGAACUGAGACACGGUCCAGACUCCUACGGGAGGCAGCAGUAGGGAAUCUUCCGCAAUGGGCGAAAGCCUGACGGAGCAACGCCGCGUGAGUGAAGAAGGUCUUCGGAUCGUAAAACUCUGUUAUUAGGGAAGAACAAAUGUGUAAGUAACUAUGCACGUCUUGACGGUACCUAAUCAGAAAGCCACGGCGAACUACGUG